Molecule: long non-coding RNA, 250 nt
Filed under: Lathyrus oleraceus (garden pea)
Lineage: Eukaryota; Viridiplantae; Streptophyta; Magnoliopsida; Fabales; Fabaceae
Description: Pisum sativum (pea) long non-coding RNA (PSAT_LNC020271)
Source: RNAcentral
UUUCCUUUUCCUUUCUUUUUGUAUUUCAUUUCUAUUCCUUAAAACAUUGGGGACAAUGUUUCAUUUAAGUAUGGGGGGGAAAACCGUGUUCUUUCUAUCCUCCUUUUUCUUUUUCUUUUUUUCAAGUAUGUAUCUUUCUUUUCAUUGUUAUUUCCCUUAUAAAAAAAAAAUAUAUUUCAUAUAAUAUAGAUUUAUUUUAAGUCAAGUCCCAAGUGUGAAAAAUUCCAAUUAUCUAUUCCCUCAAAAAUUU